This 375-nucleotide ribosomal RNA is filed under the name uncultured eukaryote. RNAcentral describes it as "partial 18S ribosomal RNA". It matches the Rfam family "Eukaryotic small subunit ribosomal RNA", at positions 592 to 976 of the family's 1831-position model. The record is from RNAcentral.
CAAUAGCGUAUAUUUAAGUUGUUGCAGUUAAAAAGCUCGUAGUUGGAUUUCGGUUAAGAGCGACCGGUCCGCCGUUUGGUGUGCACUGGUUGGUUUUAACUUCCUGUAGAGGACGUGCUCUGGGUUUAACGACCUGGACUCGGAGUCUACGUGGUUACUUUGAAAAAAUUAGAGUGUUCAAAGCGGGCUUACGCUUGAAUAUUUCGGCAUGGAAUAACACUAUAGGACUCCUGUCCUAUUUCGUUGGUCUCGGGACGGGAGUAAUGAUUAAGAGGAACAGUUGGGGGCAUUCGUAUUUCAUUGUCAGAGGUGAAAUUCUUGGAUUUAUGAAAGACGAACUUCUGCGAAAGCAUUUGCCAAGGAUGUUUNCAUUAA